GAUGAACGCUGACAGAAUGCUUAACGCAUGCAAGUCUUUGGCGAAGCUGUGCUUGCACAGCCUAGCCAAGGCGGACGGGUGAGUAACGCGUAAGGAACUUGCCCUGCAGUCAGGGAUAACAGACGGAAACGACUGAUAAGACCUGGUAAAGUCAGGCGGACUCAUGUCCAGCCUGAUGAAAAGAGAUGCUGCAGGAGAGCCUUGCGUCCUAUUAGCUUGUUGGUGGGGUAACGGCCCACCAAGGCGAUGAUAGGUAGCCGGCCUGAGAGGGUGGACGGCCACAAGGGGACUGGGAUACGGCCCUUACUCCUACGGGAGGCAGCAGUGGGGAAUAUUGGACAAUGGGGGCAACCCUGAUCCAGCAAUUCUGUGUGCACGAUGAAGGUUUUCGGAUUGUAAAGUGCUUUCAGCAGGGAAGAAAAAAAUGACGGUACCUGCAGAAGAAGCGACGGCUAAAUACGUG
Molecule: ribosomal RNA, 463 nt
Filed under: uncultured bacterium
Lineage: Bacteria
Description: partial 16S ribosomal RNA
Rfam family: Bacterial small subunit ribosomal RNA
Source: RNAcentral